This 279-nucleotide ribosomal RNA is filed under the name uncultured bacterium. RNAcentral describes it as "partial 16S ribosomal RNA". It matches the Rfam family "Bacterial small subunit ribosomal RNA", at positions 506 to 784 of the family's 1533-position model. The record is from RNAcentral.
UGCCAGCAGCCGCGGUAAUACGUAGGGAGCGAGCGUUAUCCGGAAUUACUGGGCGUAAAGGGCGUGUAGGCGGUUUGGCAAGUCAGAGGUGAAAUGUCCCGGCUCAACCGGGGACCUGCCUUUGAAACUGCCGAACUUGAGGCCGUGAGAGGAGACUGGAAUUCCUAGUGUAGCGGUGAAAUGCAUAGAUAUUAGGAAGAACACCAGUGGCGAAGGCGGCUUUCUGGACCGAUACUGACGCUGAGACGCGAAAGCGUGGGGAGCAAACAGGAUUAGAUA